Non-coding RNA from Kogia breviceps (pygmy sperm whale), 675 nucleotides. Lineage: Eukaryota; Metazoa; Chordata; Mammalia; Artiodactyla; Physeteridae. The record is from RefSeq and is a predicted model, not a curated record.
UCAGCUCCUCUCGGGUCCCGAAGGUCAAGAAAGGCGUGACAGUUUCCACGCUUUCGUUCCAGCCUUAGCAACCGGGAGGGAUGGAGGGGCGGGGCUUAAACCGGCGGUUGAGGGAAGACCUGGCCGGUUUGAUGCGGGGUGAAAUGGGAGUUGUAGUCCGAUCGGACUGGGCUGGGCGGUUAACUAUUCUUCCGGGCACGUUGGGAAUUGUGGUUUAUUGUCUCUGACUUGUUCCUGUGCGUGGACCUUUACGUUUUUAGGCAAAUGUGUUCUUCUGAGGCUGCACCACACCUGUAGGUGUUCAGAUGGAGCAGCAUUCUAGUCAUUCUACUAACAGAAGAGCCAAAGAGGAAGGUAAUGCUGUGCCUCUUUGUCGAGCCAAACCCACCCCCAGCUUUAUUAAUCUUCAAGCAAGUUCCCCACCAGCCACUUGCCUGAAAUUCCUGGCAACAAAGCUGUCCUCAAGCCCCUGAUCAACCAGCCAAACCAUUCACCACUACCAUCCAGAACUCCAUGUAUACUCGACCUCAGGCCACUUCUACCAUACAAAAUAAACGACUGACUAGGGGAGAUGUUCUGGCAUACAUCAGAUUAUUGGAUCCCUAAAAAUUUCUUCAAUGUUGCAGUGUUGGAGGACAGAGGGAAUGUGAAGCACCCACCAAACUAAGAAGGCAU